This is a long non-coding RNA of Neopsephotus bourkii (Bourke's parrot), 4272 nucleotides long. RefSeq lists it as uncharacterized. Lineage: Eukaryota; Metazoa; Chordata; Aves; Psittaciformes; Psittacidae. The record is from RefSeq and is a predicted model, not a curated record. The transcript has 4 exons.
GGCCGAGCCCCCGCUACUUUGCCUUUCGUUCCCCUUCUCCCCGGGUCGAACCGUGCCAAGGCGUCCUCACAGCGCCCCGCUCCAGGCAGUGCCAGGCCGGUCCCACAAUGCCCCGCGCCGGGCGGUACCGGUGGCCGUUGCCAGCCGCUGCCCCUCCGGAAGCGCUGCCUCGCUGGCACUGCGGAGUGCAAAAGGGGGAGAUCCAAGUCGGAAUUUUGUUUCAUAAAGGACUGAGACAAGCAGAAGCAUUGGUGUAAGCAGCCCCUGCUGAGGUGUUUGAGCAGCCAGUAUGUUAAAGUAGGCUCCAACUGGAUUACAAAAGGCAUCCCAAAACAGUAGAGUGGUCUAAUCCAAGACAAUUGGGUUUAAGUUUGUUGGCAAGCAGCAACCCCAGGGAGAAGCCUGCACUUCUGCAGUCAACAAUAAAUGCAAGGACAUUUGAUUUCUACAUCUGACAAAAUGGGUCUCAGGCUGGGCCAUGUUUUCACAGAACCAAGAAUUCAGUACUAGGGUAACUGCAGUACUUGGAAAACAGGACUAAGUUCAAAAAAUACAUGAUAAAAAAAAAGGUGAUAAGUAUUUAACUACUUCACUUUAAAUUUUUUCCCAUUGUUUUAAUACUUUUCAGCAUCACUUACACAUCUAAAUCUCUAAGCAAAAGGCAUCUAACUGGAUAUUUACUUCCCUCUUCCUUUCCCAGCAGGAUUUUAGUCCCCCCCUUUUUUCCUUCUCCCUACAAAAGAACGAGAACACCCAAUUUUCAGCUUGCUGCCUUUCCUGAGGUUACUAUGUGAGCUUUUGCUUGGCUAAUGGUGCCUCUCAGCUUACCUCAUGUUUGCUGUUUGUUUUUGGGCUCAGCCUGCAAUAGUAAUCAAGACUAAAUAUUUGCUCAAAUGAAGUGGCUCUGUGGUUCUCAUUCCAGGGAGCUGGAUGAGGACAAAGUGAAACUAGCUUGAAAUAUUCUAGUAUGCCCAAGAGAUGUGAGGAACAAGGGAUUUUUCCAGUGCUGUAGAAAGUCAUCCAGAUUCUCAUUGCAGCUUUGUUGUGGGAACUGCAGGGGAACUAACUCGUUUAUAGCCUGCCACAAUUAAAGACACCGCUUUUGUCUGCCAGAAACCAAAGUCGGUCCAGUCAAAGCCAACCUUUGGGACCAUUCUGUCAGGCCACAACCAGAAAGAAGACGCAAUGUGAAGUUACGCAAGCAUCCAUUCUCCCUCUUCUGCAAGACUGAAGCCCACAUUUUUCUGAUAAGAGGAGGCUACAUCCUUUGUGCUUGCAAGUCAGUGGCAGGUCUUACAAACACACCCACAGAUUCCCAGUGUAACAUAUUGCAAGCUCUGUGCAUCUGGAGCCAGUGCAUGCUUUGCUCAACAACCCCCCUUUCAUUUCUGCCAAGAUUCCCUCCCACAUUUGGGACUUCUUUCCUGCUCCCUUGAGAGCUUCUUCAAGCUUCCCAGCUCCUCCAACCUCCCACUGUCAGAGUGGACCAUUCUGUACAGCUUUGCCAGCGUGCUCUGCCUUUGGAAGCAUACAGGCCACUGCAGGAAGCUGGGCACAAAGAAUAUCCAUGCAUUGCCCUUGUUCUCAGCCGUCUUGUUUGGAUCAGAUGGGUGGACCAGAAGACUGAACUGACGGCUCCAGCACACAAGGCAGAGAAUUAGCCAGGACUUACUGAGGCAUUUGCUUUGUGGGAUGUGAGAAAAUACCAACAGAGAUGCAUAACUGUAUCACUGUGGGAAACCACCUUUUAGCUGAGUGGUAACACAGUCAUCAUCUUUUGCAUUUAUCAGAGCAUCAUUUCCUGGGAUUAUUCUGGAACAAAGGCAGCAACUCAUUGGGUAUCCCGCGUAUUUGCAUAACACAAAAUUCCUGUAAAAAAUCAGUAUCUCACUGAGGAGCAGCAGGCUGCUGAGCCACCCAGCUACAGGCUAGCACCUGCUCUGCAUAUUUCUCAGCUACCGAGAGACAGCAAAGUGUUAGAGGAAUCAAACCCACAGGACAAAGGUGCUCAGGAGCUGCUUCUGAAAUUCCUCUGCAUGAGGCAGCAGCUUGUGUUAGAUGAGGAUGUAGGGAGUCCUGCAAGCACUGCUGCCAGAAAAAAAUAAAUAACAAGAGGUUAAAAGGCUUUUUGUAGAAGAGAGUAUUUGUACUUUGAAGUACAGACCCAAGCGUGAUACCAAUCUAAAGCACAAAAUAAUAAGAUAGCUUUGCUGUCAUCCACUUAGUGGGACAAAGCAUUCAACCCAUGGUAAAUUGCAUCCACUCCCUCCUUGUCUUUUCUGUUCUCACAUGGACUAAAAGCAUCCUUAAACCUCUUGCCACUCUAUCAUUCUCCUGAUUACAGCUGCAUCUAACACUGAACUUGAAACACACACCUGUACAUAAGUUUGUGGCUAAUUGCGAGACAGCACAGAGGCCUGUAAUUCCUUGACUCUUUAUAGAGGAAUGUACAUGUAUAAAAGCCUUUUGAAUUUUCAUAAGCCGCCCUUUAGAUGUGGGAUAGCAAAACACAAAAGGAUGAAAACAAGAUGCUCACCCAGUGAUUCAGCUUUCCUGCAAAGUUUUUUCUGACAGCCAUCAUAACCCUGAAAAUAAUCAUCCCAGCCCUUUUUUCCUGUGGGCUAAAAACACAUCAGCAAUGAGGAUCAUAAUGUAAGUUUUUUGUUCCCAUUAGGAAUCCAUGAAAAAGAGCUUUGCAUUACAUGGAGAAAAAAAGAAUCAUAUACAGGAAAAGAAAGUAUAUGUAUGUGUGUUGUUCUUUUUUUAAGGAAUGCUCAAUGAAGUUUGGCUUUGCUAGGGGACACACCAGCUGUCUUCAAGCUCUUUUUAUUAUGAUCUCCCUUGUACCUUAAUUGAGAAAGCAGGGUGUGGAAGUUUCAACAAAGGUUCCUCUUUGCAGUGUGCUAAUUAGGCACAGGAGUUCACAAAACCCCUCAGUUAUGAACAAUUGCCUUUCCCCAGGCUUACUUUCAUUUUCAUGCAACUGCAUUUUUACUCAUUUUCUAUUAGUUUUCCAGAGUGGACAAGAGUCAUUUCUAAAAUUAGUUUUCUAAUUAGCAAAAAAAUAAAGGGCAAGAAAAUAUGUAAAGUGGAGGGGGGUGGAGGGAAGGUAUAAUUAAAAGCACUUUAAGAUGCCUGUGCUUCUUCAGUAUACAGGAGCCCAAGGUGUUUUCAGAUCACUGUGAAGUCUCCUUUAAAAAUCUAGAUUAUGCUCCCCUGGAAUUGGCUCCAGCUGUGUAUAAUGGGGGUUUGUGUGCCCUGAACUGAGUGCUACACUCGCCCCUGCAGGAGGAAGAGCCAGAGGAAAGCAAGAGGGGCUGUGAGCUCUAAUUCCUCCAGAUCUUCUCCAUUCAUUCCACUGGCAAAGCAAAAUUUGCUUUAGAAAGAGGGCCCUGCUUGGCCUUCAGGAUAUCUUUUUGCCUGCCAGUGGCCUGGCUGGCCUCUCAGUGUGUGCUCAGACCCAGAGGCACACACAGCUGGGAAGGGAGAGGCCUCUGCCCUCCUCCCUGCCAACGCGAUGCUUCCUCCUGAUGGCAAUGACCUCACCUCUUGGCAGCGAGCUGUCCCAUCCCGUCCCACAGAGGAGCCAGCCACCCUGGCACAAGCACCCCUCCUCCUCCCUCUGCCUCCUGGCAAGGGAAGGGAGAAACUCAGGGCUUGGGACAGUCCUUCUGCCCUAAAAAGAGGCAAUCCCAAUGAUGGAAAACUGUAUUGCAAGGACAGCUGCCACCUUAAUGCUAGAUGUUUUACGCCCUGCAUUGGCAUGAAACCUUUCACACUGCUGCUCUCUGAUCUUGUUCUCUGUUGAAUUUCUGGAGAAAGGUCAAGCAAGGCAAUACUAACCCACAUAUCAGGCGAACCAUGUUAUGAUUCAGUCUCCAGUCACCAUCAUACUUGUCACCUGUGAUAGUCCUGUUUGCCCAGGACCUUUACAAUGUAGAAGACACCCAGAUAUUCAAGGAUAGAUGAAGGGCUACAUCUGCAUUUCCUGAAGGUUGCUUUUGCAUCCAAGGAGCUGCCUAGAAAGCAGGAGAGCAGUGUUUAUGUGGGACUGGGGCGAGUUGCUCAAGCUACAGUCCCAAAAGGGUCUGUGUGUCCCAGCCUGCCAGCAGACCUGGAAAACACCAUGAAGGAGAAAACUCGUAAUUCUCAGUGGCAGCUUCCCAAGCAUAGCAGUUCUCACUGGGAACAACCUUGCCUCUCCUCUCUGGAAGAGGCUGAGGAUAGUCUAGUGAAGAUACCUAGUGAAGACAGGCAUUCACCACUUUAUUG